RNAcentral lists this ribosomal RNA (497 nucleotides) under uncultured bacterium. RNAcentral describes it as "partial 16S ribosomal RNA". It matches the Rfam family "Bacterial small subunit ribosomal RNA", at positions 28 to 507 of the family's 1533-position model. The record is from RNAcentral.
GAUGAACGCUGGCGGCGUGCCUAAUACAUGCAAGUCGAGCGAACGGACGAGAAGCUUGCUUCUCUGAUGUUAGCGGCGGACGGGUGAGUAACACGUGGAUAACCUACCUAUAAGACUGGGAUAACUUCGGGAAACCGGAGCUACUACCGGAUAAUAUUUUGAACCGCAUGGUUCAAAAGUGAAAGACGGUCUUGCUGUCACUUAUAGAUGGAUCCGCGCUGCAUUAGCUAGUUGGUAAGGUAACGGCUUACCAAGGCAACGAUGCAUAGCCGACCUGAGAGGGUGAUCGACCACACUGGAACUGAGACACGGUCCAGACUCCUACGGGAGGCAGCAGUAGGGAAUCUUCCGCAAUGGGCGAAAGCCUGACGGAGCAACGCCGCGUGAGUGAUGAAGGUCUUCGGAUCGUAAAACUCUGUUAUUAGGGAAGAACAUAUGUGUAAGUAACUGUGCACAGCUUGACGGUACCUAAUCAGAAAGCCACGGCUAACUACGUG